RNAcentral lists this ribosomal RNA (1385 nucleotides) under uncultured bacterium. Its description in RNAcentral is "bacterial SSU rRNA". It matches the Rfam family "Bacterial small subunit ribosomal RNA", at positions 28 to 1381 of the family's 1533-position model. The record is from RNAcentral.
GACGAACGCUGGCGGCGUGCCUAAUACAUGCAAGUCGAGCGAGCGGAACUAACAGAUUUACUUCGGUAAUGACGUUAGGAAAGCGAGCGGCGGAUGGGUGAGUAACACGUGGGGAACCUGCCCCAUAGUCUGGGAUACCACUUGGAAACAGGUGCUAAUACCGGAUAAGAAAGCAGAUCGCAUGAUCAGCUUUUAAAAGGCGGCGUAAGCUGUCGCUAUGGGAUGGCCCCGCGGUGCAUUAGCUAGUUGGUAAGGUAAAGGCUUACCAAGGCGAUGAUGCAUAGCCGAGUUGAGAGACUGAUCGGCCACAUUGGGACUGAGACACGGCCCAAACUCCUACGGGAGGCAGCAGUAGGGAAUCUUCCACAAUGGACGCAAGUCUGAUGGAGCAACGCCGCGUGAGUGAAGAAGGUUUUCGGAUCGUAAAGCUCUGUUGUUGGUGAAGAAGGAUAGAGGUAGUAACUGGCCUUUAUUUGACGGUAAUCAACCAGAAAGUCAUGGCUAACUACGUGCCAGCAGCCGCGGUAAUACGUAGGUGGCAAGCGUUGUCCGGAUUUAUUGGGCGUAAAGCGGGCGCAGGCGGAAGAAUAAGUCUGAUGUGAAAGCCCUCGGCUUAACCGAGGAACUGCAUCGGAAACUGUUUUUCUUGAGUGCAGAAGAGGAGAGUGGAACUCCAUGUGUAGCGGUGGAAUGCGUAGAUAUAUGGAAGAACACCAGUGGCGAAGGCGGCUCUCUGGUCUGCAACUGACGCUGAGGCUCGAAAGCAUGGGUAGCGAACAGGAUUAGAUACCCUGGUAGUCCAUGCCGUAAACGAUGAGUGCUAAGUGUUGGGAGGUUUCCGCCUCUCAGUGCUGCAGCUAACGCAUUAAGCACUCCGCCUGGGGAGUACGACCGCAAGGUUGAAACUCAAAGGAAUUGACGGGGGCCCGCACAAGCGGUGGAGCAUGUGGUUUAAUUCGAAGCAACGCGAAGAACCUUACCAGGUCUUGACAUCUAGUGCCAUUUGUAGAGAUACAAAGUUCCCUUCGGGGACGCUAAGACAGGUGGUGCAUGGCUGUCGUCAGCUCGUGUCGUGAGAUGUUGGGUUAAGUCCCGCAACGAGCGCAACCCUUGUUAUUAGUUGCCAGCAUUAAGUUGGGCACUCUAAUGAGACUGCCGGUGACAAACCGGAGGAAGGUGGGGAUGACGUCAAGUCAUCAUGCCCCUUAUGACCUGGGCUACACACGUGCUACAAUGGGCAGUACAACGAGAAGCGAGCCUGCGAAGGCAAGCGAAUCUCUGAAAGCUGUUCUCAGUUCGGACUGCAGUCUGCAACUCGACUGCACGAAGCUGGAAUCGCUAGUAAUCGCGGAUCAGCACGCCGCGGUGAAUACGUUCCCGGGCCU